UACGUAGGGGGCAAGCGUUGUCCGGAAUCAUUGGGCGUAAAGCGCGUGUAGGCGGCUCGGUAAGUCUGCUGUGAAAGUCCAGGGCUCAACCCUGGGAUGCCGGUGGAUACUGUCGAGCUCGAGUCCGGAAGAGGCGAGUGGAAUUCCUGGUGUAGCGGUGAAAUGCGCAGAUAUCAGGAGGAACACCGGUGGCGAAGGCGGGUCUCUGGGCCGAUACUGACGCUGAGAAGCGAAAGCGUGGGGAGCGAACAGG
RNAcentral lists this ribosomal RNA (253 nucleotides) under uncultured bacterium. RNAcentral describes it as "partial 16S ribosomal RNA". It matches the Rfam family "Bacterial small subunit ribosomal RNA", at positions 524 to 776 of the family's 1533-position model. The record is from RNAcentral.